ACGGCAGCGCGGGGCAACCUGGCGGCGAGUGGCGAACGGGUGAGUAAUACAUCGGAACGUACCCUGUGAUGGGGGAUAACUACGCGAAAGCGUAGCUAAUACCGCAUACGACCUACGGGUGAAAGUGGGGGAUCGCAAGACCUCACGUCAUAGGAGCGGCCGAUGGCGGAUUAGCUAGUUGGUGAGGUAAAGGCUUACCAAGGCGACGAUCCGUAGCUGGUCUGAGAGGACGACCAGCCACACUGGGACUGAGACACGGCCCAGACUCCUACGGGAGGCAGCAGUGGGGAAUCUUGGACAAUGGGCGAAAGCCUGAUCCAGCAAUGCCGCGUGUGGGAUGAAGGCCUUCGGGUUGUAAACCACUUUUGGCGGGGGAGAAAUGCCGGGUGCUAAUACCAUCCGGUGAUGACGGUACCCGCAGAAUAAGCACCGGCUAACUACGUGCCAGCAGCCGCGGUAAUACGUAGGGUGCGAGCGUUAAUCGGAAUUACUGGGCGUAAAGCGUGCGCAGGCGGUUUGGUAAGACAGAUGUGAAAUUCCCGGGCUUAACCUGGGAACUGCAUUUGUGACUGCCAGGCUAGAGUGCGGCAGAGGGGAGUGGAAUUCCGCGUGUAGCAGUGAAAUGCGUAGAUAUGCGGAGGAACACCGAUGGCGAAGGCAACUCCCCUGGGCCUGCACUGACGCUCAUGCACGAAAGCGUGGGGAGCAAACAGGAUUUAGAAUACCCUGGUAGUCCACGGCCCUAAACGAUGUCUACUAGUUGUUGGGACGGGAAUACUGUUCCGUAACCGAGCUUACGCGUGAAGAUUGAUCGCCUGG
This 819-nucleotide ribosomal RNA is filed under the name uncultured bacterium. RNAcentral's name for it is "bacterial SSU rRNA". It matches the Rfam family "Bacterial small subunit ribosomal RNA", at positions 66 to 876 of the family's 1533-position model. The record is from RNAcentral.